This 1113-nucleotide ribosomal RNA is filed under the name uncultured bacterium. RNAcentral describes it as "bacterial SSU rRNA". It matches the Rfam family "Bacterial small subunit ribosomal RNA", at positions 8 to 1164 of the family's 1533-position model. The record is from RNAcentral.
AGAGUUUGAUCCUGGCUCAGGAUGAACGCUGGCGGUAUGCUUAACACAUGCAAGUCGAACGAAGCUAUUUUUUUGAACCUUCGGGGGAAAUUAAAUAGACUGAGUGGCGAACGGGUGAGUAAUACGCAAGAACCUACCUCUAGGAAGGGGAUAACAAUUGGAAACGAUUGCUAAUACCCUAUAUGCUUCCGAGUAAAAUAGUUUUUUGCCUGGAGAGGGGCUUGUGCCUGAUUAGCUAGUUGGUUAGGUAAUGGCUAACCAAGGCGACGAUCAGUAGCUGGCUUGAGAGGGCGACCAGCCACACUGGGACUGAGACACGGCCCAGACUCCUACGGGAGGCAGCAGUGAGGAAUUUUCCGCAAUGAGCGAAAGCUUGACGGAGCAAUACCGCGUGGAGGACGAAGGCUCAUGGGUCGUAAACUCCUUUUCUUAGGAAAGAAUUUUGACGGUACCUAAGGAAUAAGCAUCGGCUAAUUCCGUGCCAGCAGCCGCGGUAAGACGGGAGAUGCAAGCGUUAUUCGGAUUUAUUGGGCGUAAAGGGUUUGUAGGUUGUUGGUUAAGUCUAUGGUCAAAUUCCGAAGCUCAACUUCGGGCCGGCACUAGAAACUAAUCAACUUGAGUACGUUAGAGGCAGGGGGAAUUCCCAGUGUAGCGGUGAAAUGCGUAGAUAUUGGGAGGAACAUCAAUGGCGAAAGGCACCCUGCUAGGCCGAUACUGACACUGAAAAACGAAAGCUAGGGGAGCAAAUGGAUUAGAUACCCCAGUAGUCCUAGCUGUAAACGAUGGGGACUAACUUUGGUUUUAAAAAUCAGAGUUAAAGCUAACGCGUUAAGUCCCCCGCCUGGGAGUACGCCCGCAGAGUGAACUCAAAGGAAUGACGGGGACCCGCACAGCGUGAGCAUGUGGUUUAAUCGAUGCACGCGAGAACUACAGGCUUGACAUACUGUGAUCACUAUGAAAAUAGGCGAGCGAAGCACAGAAUCAGUGGUGCAUGGCCUGUCGUCCAGCUCCGGUCCUGAAUGUUGGUUAGUCCCGAACGAGCCAACAUUAUCUCAGUACUUCUAGACCUUGAGACUGCGGUUACGAAAGUGAUGAUAAACUCAGCUAUAUGCU